UAGAAUACAUUAUUGGUUAUAUCACUUAGAAUACAUUGUUGGUUAUAUCACUUAGAAUACAUUAUUGGUUAUAUCACUUAGAAUACAUUAUUGGUUAUAUCACUUAGAAUACAUUAUUGGUUAUAUCAUUUUUAAUCAAUAUAUUUUUAUAAGGUUAUAUUCUAUUUUAAAAAAAGGUCUCUAAUACAAGUGUACACUUUUUUACCCAGGUUUAGCUAACAUUUUAUUAUCACUGUUGUGUAUGUUAACUAUUUUUUGUCUCAAUAUUUCUUCUAAGAAAUGUUGAUUUUCUCUAUACAUGUUCACAUUAAAUUAAAGUUAAUAAACAAAAUCUGAAAUUCAAACUAAAAUGGGUUUAGAAAUCCACACUGAUAGUACACAAUAAUGUAUUUAUUUACAAGAAACAUAUUGUUUUGUCAUUACAGUAGUAAUUUAUCAUAGUUAAUUAUUGUAUUUGUAAAAUUAUCUACAAUUUUAUUUACAAUAUGUAUUAAAAUAAUUGUUAAACAAGCAAAAUUGAAUCCCAACUGAGGUUGUUAUAUAAUCAAUCUUAAUAAUUGAUAACUGUUAGAAAUAUGCUUAAUUUGUUUGAACAGCUGAUUACAAAAAGAGAGAAAAAUAUUAUUUUUUUUCCAUUAAGAAACCAGUCUGUUGGUAGAAAUUCACCAAAGCAAUAUUUUUUGUUUUGUUUUUUAAUGUACUUAAUGAAAAACGAAUAUUACUUUUCCCUCAUAAAUGCCAGUCUAUGAUUUAUAAUGGCCAUUCAAUGGAAAAGUUAUACCAAUAAAUGUCUUCCAUUACUAACCACCACCACCUUCACAUUCCCUGCCAUGAGUCAGAUCAAAUUAAUUGUCUCACAUAGUAGCAGUAACAUAGAAAGAAAAUUUCAGUAACAUUCCAUUAAAAAUUACUUGUCAAUGUAACAUGGAUGAUUUUGUGCUUUUCUAGUUUGUUUUUUUUUGUUCUCUGGAUUCUAGCAGCUCAGCAACAUUCCAUAUAUCUUGAUUUGUGAUAACCUUUUUAUUGAGGGGAAAAACAAUCAUUGUUUUAUUUGUUUGUUAAAUCUAUCCUCAUUAUUUGUGUAGUAGUAGACCAAGAGCUGUGAUAUGUGAUACUGAUUUUAUGGUUCAAAAACUUUAACUUUUUAUUUAAGAUUUUAAUCAUCAUGGAUUCUUCACUUUAGUAUUGUGAUACAUUUUUAUAAAUACUUGUGAAGACAAAACAAGCAUAAUAAUUAAUAUAACAUUUUAGCAGCCAAUCCUAUUCACCCUGCACAUUUUUUACCCCCCCCC
Molecule: non-coding RNA, 1292 nt
Organism: Biomphalaria pfeifferi
Lineage: Eukaryota; Metazoa; Mollusca; Gastropoda; Planorbidae
Source: the annotation of a GenBank genome assembly